AAUCCAUAGGUUAAUGAGGCGAACCGGGGGAACUGAAACAUCUAAGUACCCCGAGGAAAAGAAAUCAACCGAGAUUCCCCCAGUAGCGGCGAGCGAACGGGGAGGAGCCCAGAGCCUGAAUCAGCAUGUGUGUUAGUGGAAGCGUCUGGAAAGGCGCGCGAUACAGGGUGACAGCCCCGUACACAAAAGCGCAUGUGCUGUGAGCUCGAUGAGUAGGGCGGGACACGUGGUAUCCUGUCUGAAUAUGGGGGGACCAUCCUCCAAGGCUAAAUACUCCUGACUGACCGAUAGUGAACCAGUACCGUGAGGGAAAGGCGAAAAGAACCCCGGCGAGGGGAGUGAAAAAGAACCUGAAACCGUGUACGUACAAGCAGUGGGAGCCCCACCACUAAGCCAGUGGUGAACUCCACAUACGCAUCCUUUGCUGAGGAUACGGUUAACGGAGCGAAAGCGACGUUCAACCGCAAAAGAAGCAGAGGGGGCUUAG
RNAcentral lists this ribosomal RNA (487 nucleotides) under Salmonella enterica subsp. enterica serovar Heidelberg. RNAcentral's name for it is "partial 23S ribosomal RNA". It matches the Rfam family "Bacterial large subunit ribosomal RNA", at positions 161 to 671 of the family's 2925-position model. The record is from RNAcentral. Lineage: Bacteria; Pseudomonadati; Pseudomonadota; Gammaproteobacteria; Enterobacterales; Enterobacteriaceae.